RNAcentral lists this transfer RNA (73 nucleotides) under Bacteroides caecigallinarum. Its description in RNAcentral is "tRNA-Gly". It matches the Rfam family "tRNA". Rfam says of the family: Transfer RNA (tRNA) molecules are approximately 80 nucleotides in length. Their secondary structure includes four short double-helical elements and three loops (D, anti-codon, and T loops). Further hydrogen bonds mediate the characteristic L-shaped molecular structure. tRNAs have two regions of fundamental functional importance: the anti-codon, which is responsible for specific mRNA codon recognition, and the 3' end, to which the tRNAs corresponding amino acid is attached (by aminoacyl-tRNA synthetases). tRNAs cope with the degeneracy of the genetic code in two manners: having more than one tRNA (with a specific anti-codon) for a particular amino acid; and 'wobble' base-pairing, i.e. permitting non-standard base-pairing at the 3rd anti-codon position. The record is from RNAcentral. Lineage: Bacteria; Pseudomonadati; Bacteroidota; Bacteroidia; Bacteroidales; Bacteroidaceae.
GCGGAAGUAGCUCAGUUGAUAGAGCAUUAGCCUUCCAAGCUGAAGGUCGCGGGUUUGAGCCCCGUCUUCCGCU